RNAcentral lists this ribosomal RNA (460 nucleotides) under marine metagenome. Its description in RNAcentral is "bacterial SSU rRNA". It matches the Rfam family "Archaeal small subunit ribosomal RNA", at positions 1004 to 1467 of the family's 1478-position model. The record is from RNAcentral.
UCAGUUCGUACCGUAAGGCGUUCUGUUAAGUCAGAUAACGAACGAGACCUCCGUCACCAUUUGCUAUCCUCUUCUCCGGAAGGGGAGCACUAUGGUGGUACCGCCACUGUUAAAGUGGAGGAAGGAGGGGGCAACGGUAGGUCAGUAUGCCCCGAAUCUCCCGGGCUACACGCGCGCUACAAAGGGCAGGACAAUGGGCUUCGACACCGAAAGGUGAAGGCAAUCCUGAAACCUGCUCGUAAUUCGGAUUGAGGGCUGCAAUUCGCCCUCAUGAAGCUGGAAUACGUAGUAAUCGCGGGUCAACAUCCCGCGGUGAAUAUGCCCCUGCUCCUUGCACACACCGCCCGUCAAACCACCUUAGUUGGGUCUGGACGAGGGUUUGUCUUCUGACACGCUCGAAUCUGGGUUCAGCGAGGAGGGUUAAGUCGUAACAAGGUAUCCGUAGGGGAACCUGCGGAUG